Molecule: ribosomal RNA, 433 nt
Filed under: uncultured bacterium
Lineage: Bacteria
Description: partial 16S ribosomal RNA
Rfam family: Bacterial small subunit ribosomal RNA
Source: RNAcentral
AACGAACGCUGGCGGCAUGCCUAACACAUGCAAGUCGAACGAGACCUUCGGGUCUAGUGGCGUACGGGUGCGUAACGCGUGGGAACCUGCCCUUAGGUUCGGAAUAACUCCCCGAAAGGGGUGCUAAUACCGGAUAAUGUCUUCGGACCAAAGAUUUAUCGCCUUUGGAUGGACCGGCGUUGGAUUAGCUCGUUGGUAGGGUAAAAGCCUACUAAGGCGACGAUCCAUAGCUGGUCUGAGAGGCUGAUCAGCCACACUGGGACUGAGACACGGCCCAGACUCCUACGGGAGGCAGCAGUGGGGAAUAGUGGACAAUGGGCGGAGGCCUGAUCCAGCAAUGCCGCGUGAGUGAUGAAGUCCUUAGAGUUGUAAAGCGCUUUUACCCGGGAUGAUAAUGACAGUACCGGGAGAAUAAGCUCCGGCUAACUCCGUG